GUGAACGCUGGCGGUAGGCCUAACCCAUGCAAGUCGAACGGCAGCACAGUAAGAGCUUGCUCUUACGGGUGGCGAGUGGCGGACGGGUGAGGAAUACAUCGGAAUCUACUUUUUCGUGGGGGAUAACGUAGGGAAACUUACGCUAAUACCGCAUACGACCUACGGGUGAAAGCAGGGGAUCUUCGGACCUUGCGCGAUUGAAUGAGCCGAUGUCGGAUUAGCUAGUUGGCGGGGUAAAGGCCCACCAAGGCGACGAUCCGUAGCUGGUCUGAGAGGAUGAUCAGCCACACUGGAACUGAGACACGGUCCAGACUCCUACGGGAGGCAGCAGUGGGGAAUAUUGGACAAUGGGCGCAAGCCUGAUCCAGCCAUACCGCGUGGGUGAAGAAGGCCUUCGGGUUGUAAAGCCCUUUUGUUGGGAAAGAAAAGCAGCAGGUUAAUACCCCGCUGUCCUGACGGUACCCAAAGAAUAAGCACCGGCUAACUUCGUG
This 491-nucleotide ribosomal RNA is filed under the name uncultured bacterium. RNAcentral's name for it is "partial 16S ribosomal RNA". It matches the Rfam family "Bacterial small subunit ribosomal RNA", at positions 29 to 507 of the family's 1533-position model. The record is from RNAcentral.